Musa acuminata AAA Group (dessert banana) is the source of this 2156-nucleotide long non-coding RNA. RefSeq lists it as uncharacterized. Lineage: Eukaryota; Viridiplantae; Streptophyta; Magnoliopsida; Zingiberales; Musaceae. The transcript is spliced from 2 exons. The record is from RefSeq and is a predicted model, not a curated record.
AAAAUUUGCUAUAAAAUUGCGCUUCGUUGGCUGCCUCCCAAUUUAGAGCGGCAAAUCCCGUCGCUUCUCCUCUUGCUUCGAGUUGAGGUCUCCAUCAGUGGGCUUCUUUGCCCUACCAAUCCUCGGAAACGAAAGAGUCGGAGCCUCUUCUGCGUCCCAUGACCUAAAUCAUUGCCUUCAAGACCCAUGAGAAGAAGCUCCACUUUGAUGAACUGAGGAGAAGAGGAUCGAUUCUGGCACUGUGAUGCUGUGGCUUUUCGAUAUGGGUAAUCUAAAUGAGGCCAUUGGGUUAAUGCGUGAAUUAAAAAGUUCCAGCUUUGAUUGCCAAGUCCAUUGCUCUGUGUCCAAAUCUAUAGCUUUUUUGAGAUCAAAGCUUAUAUUCAUGUUGGUUUGAUAUGGUAGAAGGUGGAAAGCUGUUUGAUGAGUUUGCUUCGGAAGGGAGACUGUUUCUGUGAAAUCUAUCGUUGAUAGAAGGUAGGAGAAUCUCACUGUUGCCAAUGCGUUCGUGUACAUGUAUGCAAAAUGUGGGAGUAUGCCAGGAGCUUGGAAAGUGUUUGUUGAAAUGGGAAGAAGGAUAUCAUCUCAUUCAAUACAUUGAUUGGAGGUUAUUCAGAAAGUGAUAUGCCCAGUGAAGCACACAUGACGUUUGUUUAAAUGCAGCUUUGAUUGAGACCUGAUUUGGUGACCAUUUUGUGCAUCCUUCCUGCUGUGGCCAUGCCUAAGUAUUACAGUCAGGUAAGUUAGUAAAUGGUUAUGUUAGCAGAUACGUAUGUGUUAGAUCGUGAUAUCGGUGUCUUUUCCUGGGUGGAAGGUGCGCUCAACCCAGUCCAUGGUCCGAUUCUCAGCACGGCGUUGGUCCUGGACGAUUGAUGAUGAAGACCCUCAAGGCUGAACCACCUUCAUUCCUACAAUAGGACCUUCCUUGGUACAAGGUUCCACGUUCAAGUUAGGAAAUCUGAGUAUGUGUAGUUGUGAGAUAGAAGAACCCAUGCGCUAUAGCAACAGGCCCUUUUGUAGUCGGGGUCCCUGACUUGCAGUUAGGGAAAAUAUUCUCCCGAUCAUAAAAUAUUUGAGUAUUUCCAUUCCGAUUUUUGAUGUGGUUUAUCAUUGUCUUUUCUACCAAGCUGAUGUCCACUCGAGAAGUUCUGAUUGAGGACCAAUAUGUCCUCUAUCAGUAUGUCAAAUGCUGUCCAUUAUUGAUUGUGGUGAAUGUUGUAUGAUAGGAUCAACAAAAUUUUAUAUUGCUCGCAUGAAAUCUAUGUGACAUAUAGCCACGUUAUUGCUUGCAUGAGUGUUGUGUAUUUGAUGGGGUCAGCAAAAGUAUAUAUUGCUUGCACCACCUUAGUUCUGUAUUCUGAUCAUUCCACACAGUUCUUUGACUCAAAGCAUUCUCCUGGCUGUCAAUCCGCUGACAUGUGGGCAAACCCCUCCAUGAUACCAACCAUCCAGUUACUUGGAUGGUGGUGACACGAAAGCUGUAAUUUCUGCUUGUGUUUCUACAGCUCAAGCAAUUUGGAUUUGAAUCUGAAGUAGGUCUUAAUGUUGAAUCUUUUGAUAUUCUUUAAUACUAGACACUUGGGGAACUCGAAAUAGACAUUUAAGUUGGCAUUCUUCUACUUAUCAAGCUCUCAGGAUGUUAUUGCUCGGAAAUGCUUAGAGAUUCUUCUGAUACUGCCAUCAGAGAUGCAGAUUGCCAUGAUCCCUUAUAGUGUCUGGAUUUGCUGAAUCCGAAUCACAAAGAAGUGCUAUGUAAAAGAUUUGGUGGCCCAAGAAAUGUAUCAACACUUGUGAGGAACAAUCCAAUUGUGUUCCCUCAUGAUUGAAGGCUUAGAUAGAUGGAAGGAAUGGAUCAUCAAAUCGGUGUUUGGCCCAUGCAACUGCCAUCUUGUCUUGAAGAAAAAGGUUAAUCUGCUACUUUGAUGAUGCUGGUAAAUUUGGUGAGAGUAUAGCUCCAUCAAGUGCAAUAGGAAACAUGAGACUAGAUGUUCCAAAGCUGGACUUUUCAUUUUUGAAGUCUCUAAUUGUUUCCAGGAAAAAGAAGCUUGUAACAGAUUUACAUGUAGAAUUGGACACCUUUGUGGGUUUUUGUUUAUCAAAGUGAACAAUUUGUAUCAACACUUCUUUUUUCUUAAAUAUAUCCUGUGUUUUAGUGCUAA